RNAcentral lists this long non-coding RNA (2234 nucleotides) under Marmota monax (woodchuck). The record is from RNAcentral. Lineage: Eukaryota; Metazoa; Chordata; Mammalia; Rodentia; Sciuridae.
GGCAGGUUCUGGUGAGCAAUGUGAUAGGAACUUGUGAGGAAGUGAUGUUGGAGGAGCCCUUCCUCUCAGGCUCUCAGAUGUUAGGAAUGUGGCCAUGGGUCUCAGGGGGCAGAGCAUUUUGUUCCAGUAUGGUGGUUUGGUGAAGUGCCACCAAGCUUUUGACACCAAUUGAGUUGGAAGGAGGAGGAAUUGCAUCGCUUGAGAGAACAUAGGAUGGGGUCUUUACAAGGCUCAAGUUAUGGCAGAUUUGUGUACUCCUGGAGCUACUGCCUUGCACAGAGCAUGGUGCACCGGGACCUGAAGACAGACAACAUCCUUCCAGAGGCAGCAUCAAGCUCUGUGACUUUGUCCUGGUCUGCAGUUUCAUGGCUGGGCAGUAGCUGGACGUGUUCUGUGCCACCGUCACCUCCUGGGCCCCAGAGCUGUACCAGGGGCAGGAGAACGUAGGCCCCAUGGUAGACAUCUGGAGCCUGGGUGUCCUCCUGUACCGCAUGCUCAUGGGGUGACUCCUGUUUAACGGCACCACCUUGGCGCAGUUCAAGAAGCAGGUCCUGCAGGCCCGGUACAACCUCCCGUCCAACUUGUCCAUCAAGGUGCGAAGCCUCAUCUCCCAGAUGUUGACCAUGGAGGCCAAGCACAGGCCCAUGCUAGAGCAGAUCCUGGGGCACCCUUGGCUGAGCCAGGGUGAGUCCUCCUGCUGCGCUUCUCCCCAAGUACCCAGAUCCCACAUCUUGCUGCCCAUGUUGGACCUGGGUUAUGGGCUGCAGGAAACCUGGGUGUCAGUGACGAACUGCCCAUUUGAUGAAGCCAUAGCGACCUACCUCAUGCUCCACUGCCAGAAAACCCAGGGGUGCGGGGUGAGCUGUAAGGUCCAGCUGCAGCCUGGGCCGGCCCAUGCCCCUCCAUCCCUUCCAGAUUCACUCUGGACCCAAGGAGGGGCACCAGCAGGCUGGCUCUUUGCUCCUGGCCCCUCUUGCCCCGCCUGCAGGUGCUGCCUGAGCAGCACAAGAUGUCAGGGCAGAGGGCAGCAGAAGAACCAGCCUGCCUGCCGCUCCCCUGAGUGACCUGCCGCCUAGUGCCCCUACUCCCAGCCUUGUGGCCCCUCUGCUCGGCUGCUGGCCAAGCGGCAGCAGGCGGGAGGCAGAAAGCAAGUCCUCCCAGGCCAUGGCAUCCAACCGAGCUCCCACUCCACCCAGCAAACCCCACCACACACACACAACCGGGACCCCUGGCUUUGCUGGUGACACCACCAGGGGCUGGAGAGGAGUGGCCAAGAGGAUGGCCGCCUGUCUGGCAGCCUCUGUUGCUGUGUGCAGGCCCCCAAGACUGGCCCUGAAAACAAACAGUGGCUCCCGGGCCAGGAGGACACACACCACCUGCACCUUUGGACCCAGUGACUCCCCCCAGUGGAGGGCAGGACCACAGAAGGUGGUUCAGGAGUAGAGUGGCUCCCUGGGGGCACACAGCUGAGACACCAGCAAAGCCAAGUAGGAGGGGCACUGCUGCCUUUGAUCUCACAUGUGCUUUGCUUGAUGUCCUUUUCCAAAGCACAAAUCAGCUCCGUGCACACUUCUGGGGUGCUGUGAGGUUUAGGUCAAUCUGGGCGCCAUGGGGUGGUUGACUCUUGCCCAUUCACUUAUCUGUGUCCUCAGUCAGAUCCCAUGGGGUCUCACCUAGGAGGAGCUGCAGCUGCUGGAGGGAGACGAGCAACCUGCUGUGGCUGCUGCCUCAUGCAAUCCAGGCCGCCAGACUCCAGUGGCCUCUCCGCCCCAUGGGAAUAGACAUUAGGGACCUUCCUGGGACUUGCCCCUGUGCUGCCUUCUCUGCUCUUUCUCCCAGGUUCCUGGGGUAGACAUGCUUUUCAGUAAGUUCCUAAUACAUUUCCAUCUCUCCCAGAUCUUAUCAUAAAUUUGGUGCUCCAUUCCUUGGCCUCCUCCCUGCAGCAUCAGAAGAGUGGGUGGUAAUGUCGUUAUAGGAAUGUGUAAGUUGGUAGUGACUUUAGAGACCUACUAAGGUCCACCAAGGGCAACACGUGACUUAAAGUGGACAAGACUCUGAGCUGCCUGGGGGCAGAAAUGUGGACCUUUUGUGUGACCUGACACAGAUGGUGCCCGGCUGCCAAUAUCAGAAGGGAACCAUUGACAGGAGGAGCCAUCAGCUAGCAUACUCCUGGGGAGACACUCAGAAUAGCUCAAGGAGACCCCGUGGUGCAGACCAGGAUGGGAGUCUGGGUA